Paramormyrops kingsleyae is the source of this 948-nucleotide long non-coding RNA. RefSeq lists it as uncharacterized. NCBI's taxonomy places the organism in Eukaryota, Metazoa, Chordata, Actinopteri, Osteoglossiformes, Mormyridae. The record is from RefSeq and is a predicted model, not a curated record.
GGACAAUAAAGGAUCAAUCGUUAUAUAUAUAUAUGUGUGUGCGUGUGUUUCUUAAUUUUAUGUAUAUGAAAUCUUCCGUAAAACAUUCCGUUUGAAGCUAAGAAGAAAAAGGCAUAGAACUGUAACUUUAAUUGUGUAUACAUUACCUGCAAAGGCAUAAAAUGCCUCUUUAAUUGCCUGCACUCGCAGGUGUCUGGGAAAAACAAUGACAACCUGAACGAAAUAUUUCAGGCCCAAACAGAUUUUCCUCAUUGCCUGGCAAACUGUACUCUUUGAUAUAUUUUCCGCAUCGCCUACAGUAUACAAAAAAGUGCUGCUUGCAAAAUAUCUCAAGGUAAUGAACAUUGUCUGUGUGGCUGUGAGAGCCCGACUUUGCCUAGUUGGACUUCUACUAUACGGAGCUAAUAAAUCUAAGAUAUAAUAUUCCAUCUCCGUUCACUGUAUUUAAGUGCCAGCCUUUGUCCUGCUGUUCAGUAAGUCAAUUUAUUAGGCACCUGUGCUCUACUAUGUUACUGCGUGUAGUUGCUUUGAUUUGUCUUUCUAGUUCUGUUUUCUGUGUUGCCUUGUUUGUCCUAGUUUGUUUAUUUAUAGCUUCUUUAGUUAUUUUUUCUAUUGAGCUCUGACCCCCUGUGGUCCCUUUAUUUUGUGGUUUCCCAGUGUGCCCUGUUUUUGUUUAAUAACCCCCUUCUCUGUUUCAGAGCCACCAGUGGAUCAUCAUCUUUAUUUCCUGCUUUCACUAUGCCCUGCUGUGACAUGGUUCAGAUGAGGACUCUGGGCUAACCAUAUCAUCUUCUUAAUGUUCUCAGCUUUGAGGAAUUGCCUCACCCAUUUUGCAGUAAGUGGCUAAGAGGGUCAUCCCAUUAGCCUUCUUCUGAAUAACCUGUCGUCAAAGGGUUUCAGGCACCUUGGAGAGGUCCACCAUCAUGCAAAAUGCUUACAAGUGUUGCC